AUGAGGACUGCUUCUAACAGCUUGGAUGAGUUUACGGACACUGUCACCUCCUAUACCCACUUCUGUGAGGACAGCAUUGUGCCAUCACGCACCAGGGUGCGUUAUAACAAUGACAAACCCUGGUUUACUUCUAAACUCAAAAAGCUGUGGCUGGAAAAGAGAAAGGCGUUCAGAAGCGGAGACAGGGACUGCUACAGAGAGGCCAAGUACAGGUUCACUAAAGAAGUGGACAUUGCUAAACAUCAGCACUCUGAGAAGAUGCAGCAGCAGAUCUCAGAGAAUGACUCGGCCUCUGUGUGGAAAAGUUUUAGGAAUAUCACCAACUACAAGCCUAAAACCCCCCACUCCACUGAUGACUUGCUCUUGGCAACACCCUUAACGACUUUUACUGCCAUUUUGACGAGCCAUCAAGCAGCCUUCACACCUCCAACGGCCCCAACAAUACAGACUCUUUGGACACUCAUUCCUCCACCUCUCCCCCCACCAUCAAACACUUCACCUACAACACCUCCCUCCUCACCCCACACCAAGGAGGAUUUCACACCACCUUCUCCCACCACAACUCUUCAUAUUCAUGAAGCAGAUGUGAGGAAGCAGUUUAAGAGUCUGAAUGCUCGGAAAGCUCCUGGCCCAGACGGUGUGUCUCCUGCCACCCUCAGACACUGUGCAAACGAGCUGGCCCCAGUGUUUUCUGGCAUUUUCAACUCCUCACUGCAGGCAUGUCAUGUGCCUGCCUGCUUCAAGUCCUCCACCAUAAUCCCUGUCCCCAAGAAACCAAGGAUCACUGGACUAAAUGACUACAGACCUGUGGCUCUGACAUCUGUGGUCAUGAAGUCAUUUGAGCGCCUGGUUCUCUCCUACCUCAGGACCCUCACGGCCCCCCUCCUGGACCCCCUGCAGUUUGCAUACAGAGCCAACAGGUCUGUAGAUGAUGCUAUCAACAUGGCUCUACACUUCAUCCUGCAGCAUCUGGACUCCCCAGGAACCUACGCCAGGAUCCUGUUUGUGGACUUCAGCUCUGCCUUCAACACCAUCCUUCCAGACCAUCUCCAAGGCAAGCUUUCCCAGAUGAAUGUGCCUGAUCCCAUCUGCUGGUGGAUCACUGACUUCCUGACAGACAGGAAGCAGCAUGUGAGGCUGGGAAAGAAUGUCUCGGACUCCCGGACCAUCAGCACCGGCUCCCCUCAGGGCUGUGUUCUUUCUCCUCUGCUCUUCUCCCUGUACACCAACUGCUGCUCCUCCACCCACCAGUCUGUCAAGCUAAUCAAGUUUGCAGAUGACACCACCGUUAUUGGACUCAUGUCAGACGGGGAUGAGUCUGCCUACAGGGGUCCGUUCUUCGUACCUCGCUUACUACAUCCAAGAUCAAAUGACACAUCCAAGAUCAAAUCAUCGCGCCAACUUUGA
This 1407-nucleotide long non-coding RNA is filed under the name Oreochromis niloticus (Nile tilapia). Its description in RNAcentral is "lncRNA (ENSONIG00000036886.1)". Lineage: Eukaryota; Metazoa; Chordata; Actinopteri; Cichliformes; Cichlidae. The record is from RNAcentral.